This 731-nucleotide ribosomal RNA is filed under the name Klebsiella pneumoniae. RNAcentral describes it as "partial 23S ribosomal RNA". It matches the Rfam family "Bacterial large subunit ribosomal RNA", at positions 2093 to 2823 of the family's 2925-position model. Lineage: Bacteria; Pseudomonadati; Pseudomonadota; Gammaproteobacteria; Enterobacterales; Enterobacteriaceae. The record is from RNAcentral.
GUGAACCUUUACUAUAGCUUGACACUGAACAUUGAGCCUUGAUGUGUAGGAUAGGUGGGAGGCUUUGAAGCGUGGACGCCAGUCUGCGUGGAGCCAACCUUGAAAUACCACCCUUUAAUGUUUGAUGUUCUAACGUUGGCCCCUGACCGGGGUUGCGGACAGUGUCUGGUGGGUAGUUUGACUGGGGCGGUCUCCUCCCAAAGCGUAACGGAGGAGCACGAAGGUUAGCUAAUCCUGGUCGGACAUCAGGAGGUUAGUGCAAUGGCAUAAGCUAGCUUGACUGCGAGCGUGACGGCGCGAGCAGGUGCGAAAGCAGGUCAUAGUGAUCCGGUGGUUCUGAAUGGAAGGGCCAUCGCUCAACGGAUAAAAGGUACUCCGGGGAUAACAGGCUGAUACCGCCCAAGAGUUCAUAUCGACGGCGGUGUUUGGCACCUCGAUGUCGGCUCAUCACAUCCUGGGGCUGAAGUAGGUCCCAAGGGUAUGGCUGUUCGCCAUUUAAAGUGGUACGCGAGCUGGGUUUAGAACGUCGUGAGACAGUUCGGUCCCUAUCUGCCGUGGGCGCUGGAGAAUUGAGGGGGGCUGCUCCUAGUACGAGAGGACCGGAGUGGACGCAUCACUGGUGUUCGGGUUGUCAUGCCAAUGGCACUGCCCGGUAGCUAAAUGCGGAAGAGAUAAGUGCUGAAAGCAUCUAAGCACGAAACUUGCCCCGAGAUGAGUUCUCCCUGAGACUU